GCGUCCCAGAUUCAUGAUCCGUGAGGAGAAGCGUAGCAGGCGUCGGUGGCCGUAGGGCCAGUUCAUAUGGGCGGCUGAGGACGAGAGACAGCGCUCCUCAUGAGCACAGAAACCCCAGGCACGACGGAGGGACAGGAAAGAGAGUGCUGGAAUCUGUCAUUUACAGCACAGUUGGGUCAUGAUGUCAUCGCGAUGAGCCAAUGGGAAACGGACGAUUCUUUCUUCUCAUGACCUUUACGCAAGUACUGCUGAUGUUUUGCUUCAAGGCCAGUGGAGGUUCAUAGCGACGAUGGAGUUCACAGCAAAAGAUUGCAAAUGGUGCAUUUAAAAUGGACUCUAUAACGCACACUGGAUCGACUGUACAUAGUUUAAAAUCAGAGAUGCAAGACUCCAUUAAAGGUUAUGAAUAAACGUCUAAUAUGUCAUGGCUCAUGAAGCCAGUUUCUGUGGGCUCAGCUGAACACACUUCGAGAGUUGAAUGCUAACUGAUCAACAAGUUUGAGAAAAGUGAUAAUGAGACAAGCUAUAAUUCCUAAAAUUCCCAAAAUUCCCAAAAUUCCCUGCUAUGUGCAAUGGAUAGUUUUUCUUUUAUUCAAAGCAAUUUUUAGUAUUGGCAUUAAAUCCUGGCUGUACAGCAGCGACUUAUGGUAGAAUUUUCUCAGUGGAAUAGAAAAUAGAGGAAAAACACAGACAUUGAAAUGGAUAGAAUUACCCGAGGGUGGAAUAUAAAACUAAUCCUGUCUGAAUUAGGGUUUUAAACUGGAUUAGUUUGACCAGAGAAAGUUCAGUAGUGUAAAAAUAUAACAGGACUGUUUGGACAGAAUAAAAAGCCUGAAUAAUUCACUAAUAAUGUCAGCAUUAUGUGGCAGGUGAUGCGAACAGUAACAUAUUCCACAUUACCGUGAGGUUUGUUCAAACACUGUGACUAUUAUGGAAGCUGCUGAAUUAUUGCUUAUUCAUGACGACUCACUUCAAUUACAUCCUCUUCACAUCCUCAGUCAGAUUAGUCUUUUACAGUUCAGAAAAUAAGCUGUUUCAUAUAGAAAUGUGUG
Silurus meridionalis is the source of this 1052-nucleotide long non-coding RNA. RefSeq lists it as uncharacterized. The record is from RefSeq and is a predicted model, not a curated record. Lineage: Eukaryota; Metazoa; Chordata; Actinopteri; Siluriformes; Siluridae. The transcript has 3 exons.